Molecule: long non-coding RNA, 332 nt
Filed under: Androctonus crassicauda
Lineage: Eukaryota; Metazoa; Arthropoda; Arachnida; Scorpiones; Buthidae
Source: RNAcentral
UGAAGAUAAAGGGCAUCCCGAAGAAUCCUCGAUGGAAAAGGCAGAAACUCUGUUGAAAAAGAAUCCGGAGGACUAUCCAGACAAUGAUGCCAAAGAUCCUGAUCUUAUUCCUCCAAAAUCAAACUAUUUCGACUAUCCGUCCGAAGAAAGAGAGUGGUAUUCAUUCAGAAGAAGCAAAGCCACAGAUAAAAUCUAUGACAACCACAUACCAGGUUCGCAUCCUUUGUACGAUAGCGGAGGACCAAGCACAGCUCCUUGUCAAACUUCGAUCAAGGAAAAUAUAAAAUAUUCAGAUCUUGGACCACCUCAGGAGAUUUCGGCGUCGGCUUUAC